Non-coding RNA from Paramuricea clavata, 217 nucleotides. NCBI's taxonomy places the organism in Eukaryota, Metazoa, Cnidaria, Anthozoa, Malacalcyonacea, Plexauridae. The record is from the annotation of a GenBank genome assembly.
CAGGGUUUGAAUUAGACAGGAGAAAUCGAUUCGCAAAUUUCCUUCUUGAAAAUUUGAAGGAAAUUUCAGUUUUGAAAAGUGGAAACACUGCUUGCGAAAAACAAAAUGGCGGUCGUUUCAUUGCGAAUUUUAUAAAUUUUCUGACGAAAUUGUAGCCAUAUUCUUUAUUUCACACAUCUUUUUAGUACAAAAUUACAAUAAUAGUCAGCAAAAUACU